GAUGAACGCUGGCGGCGUGCCUAAUACAUGCAAGUCGAGCGAACAGACGAGGAGCUUGCUCCUCUGACGUUAGCGGCGGACGGGUGAGUAACACGUGGAUAACCUACCUAUAAGACUGGGAUAACUUCGGGAAACCGGAGCUAAUACCGGAUAAUAUAUUGAACCGCAUGGUUCAAUAGUGAAAGACGGUUUUGCUGUCACUUAUAGAUGGAUCCGCGCCGCAUUAGCUAGUUGGUAAGGUAACGGCUUACCAAGGCAACGAUGCGUAGCCGACCGGAGAGGGUGAUCGGCCACACUGGAGCUGGGACACGGUCCAGACUCCUACGGGAGGCAGCAGUAGGGAAUCUUCCGCAAUGGGCGAAAGCCUGACGGAGCAACGGCGCGUGAGUGAUGAAGGUCUUCGGAUCGUAAAACUCUGUUAUGAGGGAAGAACAAAUGUGUAAGUAACUAUGCACGUCUUGACGGUACCUAAUCAGAAAGCCACGGCUAACUACGUG
RNAcentral lists this ribosomal RNA (497 nucleotides) under uncultured bacterium. Its description in RNAcentral is "partial 16S ribosomal RNA". It matches the Rfam family "Bacterial small subunit ribosomal RNA", at positions 28 to 507 of the family's 1533-position model. The record is from RNAcentral.